This 327-nucleotide ribosomal RNA is filed under the name uncultured eukaryote. RNAcentral describes it as "partial 18S ribosomal RNA". It matches the Rfam family "Eukaryotic small subunit ribosomal RNA", at positions 1470 to 1796 of the family's 1831-position model. The record is from RNAcentral.
CCCUUAGAUGUUCUGGGCUGCACGCGCGCUACACUGAUGCACUCAACGAGUUUACGACCUUGUCCGAGAGGAUUGGGUAAUCUUUUUAAAAUGCAUCGUGAUGGGGAUAGAUUAUUGCAAUUAUUAAUCUUCAACGAGGAAUUCCUAGUAAGCGCGAGUCAUCAGCUCGUGCUGAUUACGUCCCUGCCCUUUGUACACACCGCCCGUCGCUCCUACCGAUUGAAUGUGCCAGUGAAAAGUUCGGAUUGGAGAUAGGAAACGGCAACGUAUCCUAUUUCCGAGAAAAUCUUUAAACUUUCCCAUUUAGAGGAAGGAGAAGUCGUAACA